GAUGAACGCUAGCUACAGGCUUAACACAUGCAAGUCGAGGGGAAACGGCAUUUAGUGCUUGCACUGAAUGGACGUCGACCGGCGCACGGGUGAGUAACGCGUAUCCAACCUACCCAUUACUGUGGGAUAACCUGCCGAAAGGCAGACUAAUACCGCAUAGUCUUCGAUGACGGCAUCAGAUUUGAAGUAAAGAUUUAUCGGUAAUGGAUGGGGAUGCGUCUGAUUAGCUUGUUGGCGGGGUAACGGCCCACCAAGGCGACGAUCAGUAGGGGUUCUGAGAGGAAGGUCCCCCACAUUGGAACUGAGACACGGUCCAAACUCCUACGGGAGGCAGCAGUGAGGAAUAUUGGUCAAUGGACGAGAGUCUGAACCAGCCAAGUAGCGUGCAGGAUGACGGCCCUAUGGGUUGUAAACUGCUUUUGUAUGGGGAUAAAGUCAAUCACGUGUGAUUGUUUGCAGGUACCAUACGAAUAAGGACCGGCUAAUUCCGUGCCAGCAGCCGNNNUAAUACGGAAGGUCCGGGCGUUAUCCGGAUUUAUUGGGUUUAAAGGGAGCGUAGGCCGGAGAUUAAGUGUAUUGUGAAAUGUAGACGCUCAACGUCUGACUUGCAGCGCAUACUGGUUUCCUUGAGUACGCACAACGUUGGCGGAAUUCGUCGUGUAGCGGUGAAAUGCUUAGAUAUGACGAAGAACUCCGAUUGCGAAGGCAGCUGACGGGAGCGCAACUGACGCUUAAGCUCGAAGGUGCGGGUAUCGAACAGG
RNAcentral lists this ribosomal RNA (761 nucleotides) under Prevotella melaninogenica. RNAcentral's name for it is "bacterial SSU rRNA". It matches the Rfam family "Bacterial small subunit ribosomal RNA", at positions 28 to 776 of the family's 1533-position model. Lineage: Bacteria; Pseudomonadati; Bacteroidota; Bacteroidia; Bacteroidales; Prevotellaceae. The record is from RNAcentral.